UCCUGAGUCGGACGGUGCGCUGGCCGAUGCCUUCGUUUGGGCAGCAGCGCCGGGCGAAAAGGAGUGGAUUCACCGUGUGCCAAAUUUCGACCGUACCGCGGGUUGAUAUGAUGUCAGACGUCUCAUGAAUGCCGAGCGAUUCGCUGGCGUCAAGUGUCCAGUCGGUGUCAAAUGUCCCAUCCUGUCGGCGUCAGGUGUUACGUCGGUGUCGGACGUUUCGGUGUCGGGC
RNAcentral lists this long non-coding RNA (229 nucleotides) under Elaeis guineensis (African oil palm). Its description in RNAcentral is "long non-coding RNA (EGUI_LNC078629)". Lineage: Eukaryota; Viridiplantae; Streptophyta; Magnoliopsida; Arecales; Arecaceae. The record is from RNAcentral.